CACGUAGGUGGCACUGUAAGUCAGAGGUGAAAGCCCUCGGCUCAACCGAGGAAUAGCCUCUGAAACUGCUUUGCUUGAGUCCGGGAGGGGGGAGCGGAAUUCCCAGUGUAGCGGUGAAAUGCGUAGAUACUGGGAGGAACACCGGUGGCGAAGGCGGCUCCCUGGACCGGUACUGACACUGAGGUGCGAAAGCGUGGGUAGCAAACA
RNAcentral lists this ribosomal RNA (207 nucleotides) under uncultured bacterium. RNAcentral's name for it is "partial 16S ribosomal RNA". It matches the Rfam family "Bacterial small subunit ribosomal RNA", at positions 568 to 774 of the family's 1533-position model. The record is from RNAcentral.